CCUACGGGAGGCAGCAGUGAGGAAUAUUGGUCAAUGGACGAGAGUCUGAACCAGCCAAGUAGCGUGAAGGAUGACUGCCCUAUGGUUUGUAAACUUCUUUUAUAGGGGAAUAAAGGUAUCCACGUGUGGAUAUUUGCAUGUACUCUAUGAAUCAGCAUCGGCUAACUCCGUGCCAGCGGCCGCGGUAAUACGGAGGAUGCGAGCGUUAUCCGGAGUUAUUGGGUUUAAAGGGUGCUUAGGUUGUUUUUUAAGUCAGCGGGUAAAGUUUGUGGCUCAACCAUAAAAGUGCCGUUGAAACUGGAAGACUUGAGUGGGUGUGAGGUAGGCGGAAUGCGUGGUGUAGCGGUGAAAUGCAUAGAUAUAACGCAGAACUCCGAGUGCGAAGGCAGCUUACUAAGCCAUAACUGACACUGAAGCACGAAAGCGUGGGUAUCAAACAGGAUUAGAUACCCGUGUAGUC
RNAcentral lists this ribosomal RNA (460 nucleotides) under uncultured bacterium. Its description in RNAcentral is "partial 16S ribosomal RNA". It matches the Rfam family "Bacterial small subunit ribosomal RNA", at positions 338 to 795 of the family's 1533-position model. The record is from RNAcentral.